RNAcentral lists this ribosomal RNA (156 nucleotides) under Perenniporia fraxinea. RNAcentral describes it as "Vanderbylia fraxinea 5.8S ribosomal RNA". It matches the Rfam family "5.8S ribosomal RNA". Rfam says of the family: 5.8S ribosomal RNA (5.8S rRNA) is a component of the large subunit of the eukaryotic ribosome. It is transcribed by RNA polymerase I as part of the 45S precursor that also contains 18S and 28S rRNA. Lineage: Eukaryota; Fungi; Basidiomycota; Agaricomycetes; Polyporales; Polyporaceae. The record is from RNAcentral.
AACGGAUCUCUUGGCUCUCGCAUCGAUGAAGAACGCAGCGAAAUGCGAUAAGUAAUGUGAAUUGCAGAAUUCAGUGAAUCAUCGAAUCUUUGAACGCACCUUGCGCUCCUUGGUAUUCCGAGGAGCAUGCCUGUUUGAGUGUCAUGAAAUUCUCAA